AAAGGAAUAGACGGGGGCCCGCACAAGCAGUGGAGUAUGUGGUUUAAUUCGAAGCAACGCGAAGAACCUUACCAGGGCUUGACAUCCCUUGAUCGCGGCAGAGAUGCCGUUUCCCUUCGGGGCAAGGAGACAGGUGGUGCAUGGUUGUCGUCAGCUCGUGUCGUGAGAUGUUGGGUUAAGUCCCGCAACGAGCGCAACCCCUACCGUCAGUUGCCAGCAUUCAGUUGGGCACUCUGGCGGGACUGCCGUUGACAAAACGGAGGAAGGUGGGGAUGAGGUCAAAUCAUCAUGCCCCUUAUGUCCUGGGCUACACACGUACUACAAUGGCCGCAACAGAGGGCUGCGACAUCGCGAGAUGGAGCGAAUCCCCAAAUGCGGUCUCAGUUCGGAUUGCAGGCUGAAACCCGCCUGCAUGAAGUCGGAAUUGCUAGUAAUGGCAGGUCAGCAUACUGCCGUGAAUACGUUCCCGGGCCUUGUACACACCGCCCGU
This 490-nucleotide ribosomal RNA is filed under the name uncultured bacterium. RNAcentral's name for it is "bacterial SSU rRNA". It matches the Rfam family "Bacterial small subunit ribosomal RNA", at positions 903 to 1397 of the family's 1533-position model. The record is from RNAcentral.